This 279-nucleotide unclassified non-coding RNA is filed under the name uncultured fungus. RNAcentral's name for it is "partial contains small subunit ribosomal RNA, internal transcribed spacer 1, and 5.8S ribosomal RNA". The stretch from base 1 to 73 matches the Rfam family "Eukaryotic small subunit ribosomal RNA", at positions 1759 to 1831 of the family's 1831-position model. Lineage: Eukaryota; Fungi. The record is from RNAcentral.
GCAAACUUGGUCAUUUAGAGGAAGUAAAAGUCGUAACAAGGUCUCCGUUGGUGAACCAGCGGAGGGAUCAUUACAAAAGAGUGAAAACUCGCCAAACCCACUGUUAAUUAUAUCUUUGUUGCUUCGGCAGGCGGCCCCAGGGCGGGGCCUUUAGGCCUUUUGGUGCCUGCCGAUGGCAUUUUAAACUCUUGUUUAUCUUGCUACUCUGAGUUAAAUACAAAAUAAAUUAAAACUUUCAGCAACGGAUCUCUUGGUUCUGGCAUCGAUGAAGAACGCAGC